UAGAGUGUAGAGGUGGCAGGGUAGCCUAGUGGUUAGAGUGUAGAGGUGGUAGGGUAGCCUAGUGGUUAGAGUGUAGAGGUGGUAGGGUAGCCUAGUGGUUAGAGUGUAGAGGAGGUAGGGUAGCCUAGUGGUUAGAGUGUAGAGGAGGUAGGGUAGCCUAGUGGUUAGAGUGUAGAGGAGGUAGGGUAGCCUAGUGGUUAGAGUGUAGAGGUGGUAGGGUAGCCUAGUGGUUAGAGUGUAGAGGUGGCAGGGUAGCCUAGUGGUUAGAGUGUAGAGGUGGUAGGGUAGCCUAGUGGUUAGAGUGUAGAGGUGGUAGGGUAGCCUAGUGGUUAGAGUGUAGAGGUGGCAGGGUAGCCUAGUGGUUAGAGUGUAGAGGUGGUAGGGUAGCCUAGUGGUUAGAGUGUAGAGGUGGCAGGGUAGCCUAGUGGUUAGAGUGUAGAGGUGGUAGGGUAGCCUAGUGGUUAGAGUGUAGAGGUGGCAGGGUAGCCUAGUGGUUAGAGUGUAGAGGUGGUAGGGUAGCCUAGUGGUUAGAGUGUAGAGGUGGCAGGGUAGCCUAGUGGUUAGAGUGUAGAGGCGGCAGGGUAGCCUAGUGGUUAGAGUGUAGAGGUGGCAGGGUAGCCUAGUGGUUAGAGUGUAGAGGUGGCAGGGUAGCCUAGUGGUUAGAGUGUAGAGGUGGCAGGGUAGCCUAGUGGUUAGAGUGUAGAGGUGGUAGGGUAGCCUAGUGGUUAGAGUGUAGAGGUGGUAGGGUAGCCUAGUGGUUAGAGUGUAGAGGAGGUAGGGUAGCCUAGUGGUUAGAGUGUAGAGGAGGUAGGGUAGCCUAGUGGUUAGAGUGUAGAGGUGGUAGGGUAGCCUAGUGGUUAGAGUGUAGAGGUGGUAGGGUAGCCUAGUGGUUAGAGUGUAGAGGUGGCAGGGUAGCCUAGUGGUUAGAGUGUAGAGGUGGUAGGGUAGCCUAGUGGUUAGAGUGUAGAGGUGGCAGGGUAGC
Molecule: long non-coding RNA, 982 nt
Organism: Oncorhynchus keta (chum salmon)
Lineage: Eukaryota; Metazoa; Chordata; Actinopteri; Salmoniformes; Salmonidae
Exons: 3
Source: RefSeq, a predicted model, not a curated record